UAAAAUGGAUAAUAUUGAAAAAGUUAUCAAUCUUUUACACAAAAGAAGAACUAUUCGUGAAGAACAAUUCGCAAUUGAAGAAAAGAAACAAAUUACUGAAUACAGUAAUUUGAUAAAUACAUUACAAACUAUAAAAGAUGAACGGAACAAUUAUAAAGAAAGUAUUGUUAAAAAUCUUCAAAGUUUAACAAUGCAUAAACAUUCAAUAUAUAAAUUAAUUUAUAAUGCAGAGAAUAUAUCAGGAUUACCAGUUUCUCAUAAUUAUCAUCGGCAAGCAAUAAUGUUUUUAUCUGAAGGAAUUGAUUUUAUAAAUAAAUUACAAGAUAUAUUUAAAAAUUUUGACAAUAUUGAUAAAAAAAAUAAUAUUAAUUCUAUGAAUAUGCUUCAUGAUAUUAUAUUUUGUACAAAAAGCAUAGGAAAUGAACUUUGUAAAGUAAAAUCCUUAAUUUCAGAUAUAAAAACAUUACAAAAAAAUACAGAAAUAUUGCAAGAAUAUUGUUUAGUUAAUGAUGAUGAAAAUAUUAAAAUCUAAACAUUAUCCUAUUUUGAAUAAGAAAAUAUUUUAUUAUUAUUUAUUGAUAAGAAAAUGGUAUAUCAUUUUGAAAAUUAUGUGAAACAUUUAGAUCUCUUUCUGGUUUUUCAAUUUCAUAAACUAAAGAACCUUCUUUAAUUCUAUCCCUUUAAAAUAGAUAUGUAUAAUAAUAAUAAAAAAUUUAAAAGAAGAAAUUAAAGUAUUGUAUAUUUUUGAAAAAACUAUUGUUAAUAUAUAUACAAAUAAGUAAUGAUUAUAUUAUAAUAUUUACUUCGUAACAUUGUAUUUUUCAGUUGCAAUUUUUUUUUCUUUUUCCAUUAGUGCUUGAAUUUGUAAUUGUAACUGAUUAAAUUUUUGUUUAUUUUGA
Molecule: RNA transcript, 899 nt
Organism: Apis cerana (Asiatic honeybee)
Lineage: Eukaryota; Metazoa; Arthropoda; Insecta; Hymenoptera; Apidae
Source: RefSeq, a predicted model, not a curated record